RNAcentral lists this ribosomal RNA (225 nucleotides) under uncultured bacterium. RNAcentral's name for it is "partial 16S ribosomal RNA". It matches the Rfam family "Bacterial small subunit ribosomal RNA", at positions 524 to 747 of the family's 1533-position model. The record is from RNAcentral.
UACGUAGGAGACGAGCGUUGUCCGGAGUUACUGGGCGUAAAGGGCGUGCAGGCGGUGCGGUAAGUUUAGCGUGACAGUCUCCGGCUUAACUGGAGAAGGCCGCUGAAAACUGCUGGACUUGAGGGCCAGAGAGGGACAUAGAAUUCCGGGUGGAGUGGUGAAAUGCGUAGAUAUCCGGAGGAAUACCAAAGGCGAAGGCAGUGUCCUGGCUGGGCAACUGACGCU